UUGGAUAACCGUGGUAAUUCUAGAGCUAAUACAUGCUGAAAACCCCAACUUCGGAAGGGGUGUAUUUAUUAGAUAAAAAACCAACGCCCUUCGGGGCUUCUUGGUGAUUCAUAAUAACUUUACGGAUCGCAUGGCCUUGCGCCGGCGACGGUUCAUUCAAAUUUCUGCCCUAUCAACUUUCGAUGGUAAGGUAUUGGCUUACCAUGGUUUCAACGGGUAACGGGGAAUUAGGGUUCGAUUCCGGAGAGGGAGCCUGAGAAACGGCUACCACAUCCAAGGAAGGCAGCAGGCGCGCAAAUUACCCAAUCCCGACACGGGGAGGUAGUGACAAUAAAUACUGAUACAGGGCUCUUUUGGGUCUUGUAAUUGGAAUGAGUACAAUUUAAACCUCUUAACGAGGAACAAUUGGAGGGCAAGUCUGGUGCCAGCAGCCGCGGUAAUUCCAGCUCCAAUAGCGUAUAUUAAAGUUGUUGCAGUUAAAAAGCUCGUAGUUGAAACUUGGGUCUGGCUGGCAGGUCCGCCUCACCGCGUGUACUUGUCCGGCCGGGCCUUCCUUCUGGAGAACCUCAUGCCCUUCACUGGGCGUGUUGGGGACCAGGACUUUUACUUUGAAAAAAUUAGAGUGUUCAAAGCAGGCCUUUGCUCGAAUACGUUAGCAUGGAAUAAUAGAAUAGGACGUGCGUUCCUAUUUUGUUGGUUUCUAGGAACGCCGUAAUGAUUAAUAGGGACAGUCGGGGGCAUCAGUAUUCAAUUGUCAGAGGUGAAAUUCUUGGAUUUAUUGAAGACUAACUACUGCGAAAGCAUUUGCCAAGGAUGUUUUCAUUAAUCAGUGAACGAAAGUUAGGGGAUCGAAGACGAUCAGAUACCGUCGUAGUCUUAACCGUAAACUAUGCCGACUAGGGAUCGGGCGAUGUUCUUUUUCUGACUCGCUCGGCACCUUACGAGAAAUCAAA
This 953-nucleotide ribosomal RNA is filed under the name Neocamarosporium lamiacearum. Its description in RNAcentral is "SSU rRNA". It matches the Rfam family "Eukaryotic small subunit ribosomal RNA", at positions 139 to 1102 of the family's 1831-position model. Lineage: Eukaryota; Fungi; Ascomycota; Dothideomycetes; Neocamarosporiaceae. The record is from RNAcentral.